CUGGACAGCUUCUUCGCAAACCGAAACGCGAUUCGUAAUCUCACUGCAUCGAUUCAGUCGCGUUUUGGUUUUGGUUCAGAACUUCUUUGGUUCAGAAUGCUUAUGGUUUGGUGCAUUUUUACGUGCAGAAAAAUACAGCUUUUGGCCUUGCCCACAUGGUGUUCGAUAAAACGCCUCAACCAGAAUUGUCGCUGUUACUACCGUUUUGCAACUCGCACGUCACAUGGACCCAAAAUUAAGGAAGAUUUUACAGCUUUUGCGUUUGAGACAGCAGGAAGCAUCGGUAACAAGAGCAUUAGAGGAUGGUAUACAUUCUAUUUUUGA
Vicia faba (fava bean) is the source of this 324-nucleotide non-coding RNA. The record is from the annotation of a GenBank genome assembly. Lineage: Eukaryota; Viridiplantae; Streptophyta; Magnoliopsida; Fabales; Fabaceae.